RNAcentral lists this ribosomal RNA (407 nucleotides) under uncultured bacterium. RNAcentral describes it as "partial 16S ribosomal RNA". It matches the Rfam family "Bacterial small subunit ribosomal RNA", at positions 30 to 526 of the family's 1533-position model. The record is from RNAcentral.
AUUGAACGCUGGCGGCAGGCCUAACACAUGCAAGUCGAGCGGAGCGGCGGACGGGUGAGUAAUGCCGAGGAAGCUGCCUGGUGGUAGGGUAUAACGUCCGGAAACGGGCGCUAAUACAGCAUACUAUCAAGUGAGCCUAGGGUGGAUUGGCUAGUUGGUGGGGUAAAGGCCUACCAAGGCGACGAUCCGUAACUGGUCUGAGAGGAUGAUCAGUCCGACUGGAACUGAGCCACGGUCCAGACUCCUACGGGAGGCAGCAGUGGGGAAUAUUGGACAAUGGGCGAAAGCCUGAUCCAGCCAUGCCGCGUGUGUGAGGAAGGUCUUCGGAUUGUAAAGCACUUUAAGUUGGGAAGCGUUACCAACAGAAUAAGCACCGGCUAACUUCGUGCCAGCAGCCGCGGUAAUAC